Long non-coding RNA from Drosophila willistoni, 88 nucleotides. RefSeq lists it as uncharacterized. The record is from RefSeq and is a predicted model, not a curated record. NCBI's taxonomy places the organism in Eukaryota, Metazoa, Arthropoda, Insecta, Diptera, Drosophilidae. The transcript has 2 exons.
GUGGCUAAGUGUCCACUUAAUAAGGAGAAGCUGGCUAAAGGAUGCGACGACCAUGCUUCAUAGACUCAGGCAGUGAUGUUUCACUUAU